CCGGAGGCGGAGAAGCGGAAGCCAUAGCAACCAGGUCCUGGACUUCAGAGUGGAGAGGCCCCGUCGUCAUGGAGAUUACAUUCUAAGAACCCCAGCAGAUUCCUGAAACCUCAUAUUUUACUAAACCUGUACACACUGUUUUUACCCUGGCCUGGGACACGUGCAGUGGUUCUUGGUCUAAGAAAAGGACACAAGUGGCGGGGGGGGGGUGUCAACUGUGGAUCUCUGGGACCCUCCUCCGCCUUGCUCUUCCAUGCAGGAGAAAGCGUGGAGCAGAGCGAAGCAGCAUG
Long non-coding RNA from Perognathus longimembris pacificus (Pacific pocket mouse), 290 nucleotides. RefSeq lists it as uncharacterized. NCBI's taxonomy places the organism in Eukaryota, Metazoa, Chordata, Mammalia, Rodentia, Heteromyidae. The record is from RefSeq and is a predicted model, not a curated record. The transcript is spliced from 3 exons.